This 107-nucleotide small nuclear RNA is filed under the name Dasypus novemcinctus (nine-banded armadillo). Lineage: Eukaryota; Metazoa; Chordata; Mammalia; Cingulata; Dasypodidae. The record is from RNAcentral.
GUGCUCGCUUCAGCAGCACAUAUACUAAAAUUGGAACAAUGCAGAGAAGAUUAGCAUGGCCCCUGUGCAAGGAUGAUAUGCAAACUCAUGAAGCAUUCCAUAUUUUU